Xyrauchen texanus (razorback sucker) is the source of this 823-nucleotide long non-coding RNA. RefSeq lists it as uncharacterized. NCBI's taxonomy places the organism in Eukaryota, Metazoa, Chordata, Actinopteri, Cypriniformes, Catostomidae. The record is from RefSeq and is a predicted model, not a curated record. The transcript has 3 exons.
AAGAAACUCCUGUCACUCACCUUGAGGUCCCACCCACUUCAGAGGAUCAGGACAUCCAUGUCCACAACACUCCAAUCAGUCCUGCAGUGGGGGACAUUGUGUCUCCUGUGACGAGGUCUGCUGGAGGACAGCGUGGACAUGAGUCCAUGUUGCCAAUAAGCACCCCAGCGUUGGCGAGAUAAUUCAGCUGCUGGACGGGCAGGAGGAGGCAGAAUACUACAUCAUGGAUUCUUCCAUGUUCCACGAUGUCUUUACAUGUGUGAGCAGUUCCUGGAUGGUCUUGUUCAGGGACCGGGUUCUUGAACUUCACUACUUAUUUAUAGUUUAAAGCUGUGCACUCUUUGGCCCAGCCUACUGCAUGACGGGACAUGUCAUUGAAGUCCUUCAGUUUAACUGAUCAGUUUGCAUAAAAUACAAUGAUUUUAGGAUUUCAAAUCACAUUUUUUGUUUAAAAAUGUUCAAUUGGUUCAUCAUUGACUAUUUCACCAAACUUCAUGUUAGUCAAGUGUAAGGGGGUUAAGAUGGGCAAGGAGGUGGUGAGAACCGGCUUGAAAAUAUAAAUAAUAAUUUAAACAAAACACACACAUGACGGACAUGCCUGUAAUUCUCUCUCUCUCGAACCGUCGUCACCGGCCGCCUUUAUCCCUCGCGUGCCCCAUCAGGCCAAUUGGAGACCGGGCGUGCGACAUUCUAGCCCGGCCCGCCCCCCCUCUGCUCCACAUCAAGAUUACAGCUAUUUUUUUCUUCAUCUAAAUCAGUAUUGAUAUUUUCGGACUUUUUAGUGCUAUUAUUUUAAAUGCAAUUAAUCAACAAUGUUAAUUAA